RNAcentral lists this ribosomal RNA (253 nucleotides) under uncultured bacterium. RNAcentral's name for it is "partial 16S ribosomal RNA". It matches the Rfam family "Bacterial small subunit ribosomal RNA", at positions 524 to 776 of the family's 1533-position model. The record is from RNAcentral.
GACAGAGGUGGCAAGCGUUGCUCGGAGUUACUGGGCAUAAAGGGCGCGUAGGCGGUCGUGCACGUCGAGGGUGAAAUCCCCGGGCUUAACCCGGGAACUGCCUUCGAUACGGCGCGACUUGAGUGCGGGAGGGGAGAGUGGAACUCCUGGUGGAGCGGUGAAAUGCGUAGAUAUCAGGAGGAACGCCGGUGGCGAAAGCGACUCUCUGGUCCGCAACUGACGCUGAGGCGCGAAAGCCAGGGGAGCAAACGGG